UUCACCUUUUACUUUGAAAUUCAAAUGUGUUUCACUUAAAUAUUAGUCAUUGUGAGAAGCUCAUUUGAGUAGAAUUUAUGAUAUGUUUUUAGCAGAUCUUGUUUGUCAUUUGUCUUAUACAAAAUUCCAAAAGACCAUUACCCGUAGAUAUUUUUUUAACAAAAUUUGGCAAGGAAUGGCAUUUUUUUUUUUGCCAUUUCAUUCACCAAAAACAUGUGCAACAUAACUGUGGUACAAUUGCAAAGAUAGUGGGAAGAUUUUGCAGUAAGAGGGCAUGUUUCUGUUUUUGCCCUUGCACAGUAUUUGCCUAGUGAUUCAUGUCAUUCGAAGAGAGAAUGUUAAGCAGGAAUGCAUCGUCCAGUAUCUACAAGAACUUGAUACAUAGAAAUAGAUGCAGUUUGGGAAUGUCCAGAUUGAUUUGAUAGAAAUUCAAUUACAUCCUUUUUCUUUGGCAUUAAGGAUUAGAAAUUGAAAGAUGUCCCUUAAAUUUUACCAACUGAUCUAGCUGGCUCAUUAUAGAAGAUUUUCCAUAUGACUAAAAUAGUGCAAAUUCUGUUUUCUUAUCUUCUUGUAGAAAAUUUUGGAGAAUGUUGCCUUCUUUUGGGAAGGCUUUAAUCUUUUUUGGCUUGUUGGUGUCCAUAAAAAAUUGCUUCUUGCAAGUGAAAUUAUUGACAAUUCGUUCCUUUAGUAUUGGCCAGAUGAUAGCACCACUUUUUGGCUUUAUUACAAAUAGUAAGGCAUAUGGUAUGGCUGAGGUUAGGCCUAGUUUAAGACUUCACAUCUUUAUUAUAAGGAAUGUUGUUAUCAAAUAACAUUGUGCAGCUUCUAUGAAGUUGAGUUGAGCCUUGCAUUAUUUAGUUUGCAAGAUUUGUAAUGGAAGAUUAAACUAGGCCUGGUUUGACUACUGUUUAAUUUGCCUUGUUUGGCUUAUUUAGGGGCUAAUUUCCAUUUCUUCUUCGCAUUGAAAAGCGAAGCCUUUUGCCUCAGGAUGUUUGAGCUUAUUGAUACUUUUUCAAUAUUCAUGUGCACAUGUUUUACAUGUGUUUCUGCAUGUACAUACGUAAGUGGAUAUUAUUGUUCUGCACUUUUUAAGACAACUGAGGAGAGCAACAAUGAUGAUGGGGUUGGGAUGGGACGACAGAGAGCAUUACAAUGUAACACCUGCUUUCCUUUUAUUGAUUAAAAUUACUGGAAGAAACUCAUAUUAUGAUUAUUCUUUGCUGCAAAUAAUGUAGUAAACUGAUAAAGUACUGAAUAAACUAUUGAGUGCUAGCUAGUAAUUGUUGCUAUUAAUUUUAAUUGGACUUUGGUAUGGGUGUCAAAUAGGGGUAUGCGCCUAAGUCUUUGACCUGACUAUUUUGCUUAAUUGUCAUAGAUUUUCCUGAUUUGUAUCAGAGUAUAGCUAAUUUAAGGUGAACAGUUGGAGUUGCUAUGGUUGCUUUUUCUGAAAGAUGAUGACUUUAUGGGGCCUGUGGGUGCCUGCUGGGGUGCGAGGAGGGGGAGGGGCCAUGGUGAUGAUGAUGCUUCAUGUGCUAUAGGCUAUAGCAAGUGUUUUGAGUUACCAUAUUGUCAUAAAAACAUGUAAACUGAAAUAUAUAUCUGUUUCUGUUAUUUGAAAGAGGUGCGUAGUUUUUUCUUUUUUUUGGGUUUUGGGGGGUGGGUGUUGGAAGUGGGUGGGCAGGACAUGUGGGUUUAGAAUCUUAUUGCACUUUUUGCUGGUCACCAUGUGUUCUAGAAAAAUGAUUUUCUGCUUUCUGAAAGCUUAAUUUUCUCUUUGUAUGCAUUGUUCUUUCUGAAAGUUUAAGGUAUAGAUAUGGUAAAUGAAGGUAUUAAAAAAAAGGCCAAUCUAGUCAGGAGGAAAUCUCAUAUCUGCCUUGUCCUUCGAUCUGUUCUCAGGCUUAGGAACCUUUCUAGCCCAGCCUGAAUAAAAGUCUGGCUCAAGCUAGAGGUCUUGAAUCGAGGCCUAGCCCAACCAAGGCUUGCAUCUAAGGUGGAUUGGACUUAAGAUUUAUAUAUUUUUAGGGGUUGACCAACCUGGACUGCCUGAUGAAAAAAAAAAUAUAAUAUUUUAUAUAUUUUAUUGUGUUGGCCGCGCCACCCCAGUGCUGCUAUCUAAAAAUUUAGGCCUGAUUGGACAUUGCCUGCACAAUGAACAGGUCAUCGUGAAUGGAAUUUUGCUUUUUUGGUUUUUGGAUUAUUUCAUGGAUGCUAACUUUUAGAGCAUGUUUUCAGU
RNAcentral lists this unclassified non-coding RNA (2233 nucleotides) under Hevea brasiliensis (rubber tree). Lineage: Eukaryota; Viridiplantae; Streptophyta; Magnoliopsida; Malpighiales; Euphorbiaceae. The record is from RNAcentral.